AAGUCGUAACAAGGUAACCGUAGGUGAACCUGCGGUUGGAUCAUUAACAAAAUGAUAAGAGUCGUUGGAUUUUUAUAUCCAAUGGCUUUUAUAAACAACUGUGAACUGUAAUUUGUAUCUGGUGGGGCUAUAGUUUGGUUGAAAGACUUUAUUUAGAAUCCCACCAUCAAUAAUUUGAACUUUUAUUAAUCAUGAACUAGUUUUUAAUUUAAAAUUUAAUUAUAAACAACUUUUGACAACGGAUCUCUAGGCUCUC
Molecule: unclassified non-coding RNA, 256 nt
Filed under: fungal sp.
Lineage: Eukaryota; Fungi
Description: partial internal transcribed spacer region
Rfam family: Eukaryotic small subunit ribosomal RNA (bases 1-46)
Source: RNAcentral